RNAcentral lists this ribosomal RNA (624 nucleotides) under Triticum aestivum (bread wheat). RNAcentral's name for it is "partial small subunit ribosomal RNA". Lineage: Eukaryota; Viridiplantae; Streptophyta; Magnoliopsida; Poales; Poaceae. The record is from RNAcentral.
AGCCAACAUGAUGAGAUUGAGGCGAAGUUUUUUGAAGAAUGGGCUGCCCUUGAAGCCAAGUACCAGAAGUUGUAUGAACCAUUGUAUGCUAAGAGGUAUGACAUUCUAAAUGGAGUUGUGGAGGUUGAUGGUGUUGCUAAAGAACCUACCAGUGAAAAUGCUGCUGUUAUGACCGGCCCUAAAGGAGUCCCAGAUUUUUGGCUCACUGCUUUGAAAACAAAUGACGUGUUGACCGAGGAGAUCCAAGAGCGUGAUGAGCCUGUUUUGAAAUAUCUAAAGGAUAUCAAGUGGUCUAGAAUUGAUGACCCCAAGGGUUUCAAGCUUGAGUUUUUCUUUGAUACAAACCCUUUCUUCAAGAACUCUGUACUAACAAAAUCCCAUCAUAUGGUUGAUGAGGAUGACCCAAUUUUGGAGAAAGCAAUCGGGACUGAAAUUGAGUGGUAUCCUGGGAAAAAUGUGACACAGAAGAUUCUAAAGAAGAAACCCAAGAAAGGUUCAAAGAACACCAAGCCUAUUACUAAAACUGAAGAGUGCGAGAGCUUUUUCAACUUUUUCUGCCCCCCACAAGUACCUGAUGAUGAUGACAUUGAUGAAGAAGCCGUAUGUUCCAGAUUUAUUGUUUGA